This 253-nucleotide ribosomal RNA is filed under the name uncultured bacterium. RNAcentral describes it as "partial 16S ribosomal RNA". It matches the Rfam family "Bacterial small subunit ribosomal RNA", at positions 524 to 776 of the family's 1533-position model. The record is from RNAcentral.
UACGUAGGGUGCAAGCGUUAAUCGGAAUUACUGGGCGUAAAGCGUGCGCAGGCGGUGAUGUAAGACAGGUGUGAAAUCCCCGGGCUCAACCUGGGAACUGCAUUUGUGACUGCAUCGCUGGAGUGCGGCAGAGGGGGACGGAAUUCCGCGUGUAGCAGUGAAAUGCGUAGAUAUGCGGAGGAACACCGAUGGCGAAGGCAAUCCCCUGGGCCUGCACUGACGCUCAUGCACGAAAGCGUGGGGAGCAAACAGG